This 283-nucleotide long non-coding RNA is filed under the name Mytilus galloprovincialis (Mediterranean mussel). Lineage: Eukaryota; Metazoa; Mollusca; Bivalvia; Mytilida; Mytilidae. The record is from RNAcentral.
CUUUGCUUCCCCUUCUUAUUAGAAAUACACUAUAAUUUAGGAUAGUAAAAUAAAUUACACAAUUGACAACAUUAUCCCCCCUCCAUCUAAGCUGUCAUAAAAUGCUACCCCAAACAUUGUCCAACUUUGAUAAAUUAUCAAAUAUGUCAAAUGAAAUAAUAUAAAAUCAUUGUGUGCUGCAAUUUAAAUAUUGUUUUAUAAAUGAUUUUUAAAUUGAUAUUGACUUUUGGAUAUGUUAAGUUAAUUUCACUCUAUGACUCCACUCCAACACUCCACCACUCCA